UAAAUUCUCUAUUCCAGUCCUGCUCAAAUUGACCAAAUUCUGUGAGUUGAAAAUAUCAGCAACACCAGCAGCCCCAUUUCCAUUGCCAUUAAGUAGGGCUCCAUCCUGUUUCAGAUUUCCUUUGUGAAGCCCGCAUUCCUUAGCCUUAGCAUCCUCCCACCACCAUCUCCCUUCUCUCUCGUGUUGGCCAGGAAGAACGGGUCUUGUGCAAGGCUCACAGCCAAUUGAGACGUACCCCUGUGAAUGCAAUGAGUUUACAGGCACAUUCAUUGCUCGAAGGAAGUUCCAUACAUUUACCCCGUCAACAUUUGCCAAAGGAUUCCACUUGAUCAGACUGCCAACCCCACCAUCCAUUCCCUCAAAAACUGGGUCCACCU
Molecule: unclassified non-coding RNA, 377 nt
Filed under: Hevea brasiliensis (rubber tree)
Lineage: Eukaryota; Viridiplantae; Streptophyta; Magnoliopsida; Malpighiales; Euphorbiaceae
Source: RNAcentral